CGCAUGGCAAGGCACGCUGACAUUGAUGCCACGCAGGUGGCCACAAGAGCGAUUUGCGUGCCCCGUGAUCAGACGGCCCAAGAUCGAUCUCGCAUGCGUGGAUGGUCCAGAUUUAUUUUUCUUUUAGGUGCGAUCGAAUGAUCGAGAUUAAUCGUGAUUGAUGGUCCAUAUUCAUUUCCUCCUUAUGCGCAAUCAGAUGG
Molecule: long non-coding RNA, 200 nt
Filed under: Carica papaya (papaya)
Lineage: Eukaryota; Viridiplantae; Streptophyta; Magnoliopsida; Brassicales; Caricaceae
Description: long non-coding RNA (CPAP_LNC011065)
Source: RNAcentral